RNAcentral lists this ribosomal RNA (253 nucleotides) under uncultured bacterium. RNAcentral's name for it is "partial 16S ribosomal RNA". It matches the Rfam family "Bacterial small subunit ribosomal RNA", at positions 524 to 776 of the family's 1533-position model. The record is from RNAcentral.
GACAGAGGGUGCAAACGUUGCUCGGAAUUACUGGGCGUAAAGCGCGUGUAGGCGGGCCGACAAGUCAGGGGUGAAAUCCUGGAGCUCAACUCCAGAACUGCCUUUGAUACUGGAGAGCUUGAGUCCGGAAGAGGUGAGUGGAACUCCGAGUGUAGAGGUGAAAUUCGUAGAUAUUCGGAAGAACACCAGUGGCGAAGGCGGCUCACUGGUCCGGUACUGACGCUGAGGUGCGAAAGCGUGGGGAGCAAACAGG